RNAcentral lists this ribosomal RNA (183 nucleotides) under uncultured bacterium. Its description in RNAcentral is "partial 16S ribosomal RNA". It matches the Rfam family "Bacterial small subunit ribosomal RNA", at positions 1318 to 1500 of the family's 1533-position model. The record is from RNAcentral.
AUAUGAAGUCGGAAUUGCUAGUAAUCGCAGAUCAGCAUGCUGCGGUGAAUACGUUCCCGGGCCUUGUACACACCGCCCGUCACACCAUGAGAGUCGAUAACACCCGAAGCCUGUAGUCUAACCAUAAGGGGGACGCAGUCGAAGGUGGGAUUGAUAAUUAGGGUGAAGUCGUAACAAGGUACC